Long non-coding RNA from Anopheles coluzzii, 1530 nucleotides. RefSeq lists it as uncharacterized. The record is from RefSeq and is a predicted model, not a curated record. Lineage: Eukaryota; Metazoa; Arthropoda; Insecta; Diptera; Culicidae. The transcript has 2 exons.
CGUAGUUGCCUGUCACUGGUCGGCAUUUCAUCAGGUUAUCUGUGCACAUGUGAUCACUUAGGACCUGAACUAGCCUUUGCCUGCCACUGGCUGAGAAUGUUUUACUAGCCCAUAAUCUCCUCAGAUAUGCAUGCUGUUCAACUGUUAGACCCAGUAUUUCAGCUAGCAAAGAAUCCUUUAAAAACGACUGCCAGAUCAAGCGGAGAUCGGCGCUAGGUUAACUACAAAUUCAAUUUACUUUAAUCGUAAACCAAUACAUUUCGUUUCUAAAGUAACCUUCCAAUCUUUGCAAGAUGGGCCAGCCAAUAUGCGUCAUAAAAAAACAAAAUCCAAUGUAUCUCCAUGAAGUCAAUCAAUCAAUCAUCAUUACACUGGACAGUGACGACAUUGAAGCGAAUCUGUACCACCGAUAACAACGGGUCGUUUGAUCCAAGCCAACGAUCUGGUACUAGAAAGAUAACCAGGAUUUCUACUAUCUUACGAGGAGGGAUGGUGGGAAGCGGAAAAAUGUCAUGUUUAAUUAAAAAUAAAACCCUUAGCGCGCAGAAGACGAGCGCUGAGUGUUGUGGUGAGUGUAAUCGCCUUUGGCAAUGCGAAAAGCUGCGAUUUGAUAUCAGUCCCAAUUACGUGGCUGAGGCGCGUAACACUAACACACAACGCCGAUAGUCUCGAUUGUUGUCUCAAGUGCUACGCUCCCGCUGAUAGGUUAUCAUCGUUCAUCGUCUUCGUAGUUUGGAACGACCGUGUCCAACCGUGGAAGUGCCGUCUCGCAGUGUCCGGGCAGCGUGUCAACAGUUUACACAAGCCAGCCCAAUCAUGGCUUUUGGAGACGGCGAUUCCGUGUCAUCGAGCAAACUCCUUGCUGUGGUAGAGCCCUCCGACCAGGACAUUGCUAUCCAGCACGUGCCAUCGGCUGGCUCAUCGGUGGGAAUCGAUUUCCUGCUGCUUGUUUGCUUCCUGGUGAUGAUCUUGCUGGUCGGGUUCGUGUUGCGACUGUUUCUUCAAAUGUGGCGUGCCCGCAUCGAGUGCCAAUGGACGGAGGAUGCGGCCGUAGUACGGCGAUUAGUUUAGCGAGAAAGUGCAAAUUGUUGAACGCAUCGAGCGCUGCCGGAAGGGAGCGAGUGGCGGGAACUGGGCCGAAAGUGGGAAGUUGAUCUGUGAUAUUUGGUGCACUUGCGUCAUGGGCGAUCAUAAACAUGUGUGGUGUGAUUUUAUUGAAGGGUGAGACAUUAUUUUACUGCCCCGUUUAUUUCACUGCAGCCACGUAUGACGACACACACGCACACACUGUACUGUGAUAGAUGAUGUAGGGGGUUUGAAAGCAACGAUGGAUUGGAGUGUUCGAACCAGAAAACCAGCUGAUGGUGAUACGAGGAGAACUGAAAUUAAUAAAACGUCAGUAAAGUUGCUAACAAAUCUCUGCGGUCUUAUUUUUCAAUUUUGCUUUGGAGCCACACGUUAUUGAUGGGUAGUAAACCAAUACAUUUACAAAUCAGACCCUACAGAUUUCUACUGGUCACAUUUCCGUAA